UACGUAGGGGGCUAGCGUUAUCCGGAUUUACUGGGCGUAAAGGGUGCGUAGGCGGUCUUUCAAGUCGGGAGUGAAAGGCCGGGGCUCAACCCCGGAGCUGCUUUCGAGACUGCGGACCUGGAGACCAGUAGGGGUUGGUGGAAUUCCCGGUGUAGCGGUGGAAUGCGUAGAGAUCGGGAAGAACACCGGUGGCGAAGGCGGCCAACUGGGCUGGAUCUGACGAUGAGGCGCGAAAGCGUGGGGAGCAAACAGGAUUAGAUACCCGCGUAGUCCCUGAGCGGGCUGG
Molecule: ribosomal RNA, 286 nt
Filed under: uncultured prokaryote
Description: partial 16S ribosomal RNA
Rfam family: Bacterial small subunit ribosomal RNA
Source: RNAcentral